GUCUACGGCCAUACCACCAUGAACACGCUCGAUCUCAUCUGAUCCUGGAAGCUAAGCAGGAUUGGACCUGGUUAGUACUUGGAUGGGAGACUGCUGGGGACUGGGUGCUGUAGACU
This is a ribosomal RNA of Pteropus vampyrus (large flying fox), 116 nucleotides long. Lineage: Eukaryota; Metazoa; Chordata; Mammalia; Chiroptera; Pteropodidae. The record is from Ensembl.